Molecule: long non-coding RNA, 313 nt
Organism: Sinocyclocheilus grahami
Lineage: Eukaryota; Metazoa; Chordata; Actinopteri; Cypriniformes; Cyprinidae
Exons: 3
Source: RefSeq, a predicted model, not a curated record
GACUGGAACUCUUGUAACAGCUACAUUAUGAUUUUUCCCCCCAAAUUCUUUCCUCAGGACCCUUUAUUACUUUAACUAUUAUUUUUACAAAUAUUGGGAACUGGAAGAGGAUUUUCAUAAAAGGUGCAGGAGACAGACUACACUGGAAGAGGGGAGGCCGGCGGGUUACUUUGGGAAUACCAGGCACCUUUUCCUCUCCCCUGUUGCCUAACAUGCUGGAGAACGGGGAUCGAGGAUGGACCUGUGGUUGGCCGCUGUAAACCCGCAGUCACCACAACCUGAGACGUUGGCACAGCGAUGACUUUAGGUGGGG